Molecule: ribosomal RNA, 286 nt
Filed under: Salmonella enterica subsp. enterica
Lineage: Bacteria; Pseudomonadati; Pseudomonadota; Gammaproteobacteria; Enterobacterales; Enterobacteriaceae
Also listed under: 2 other names
Description: partial 16S ribosomal RNA
Rfam family: Bacterial small subunit ribosomal RNA
Source: RNAcentral
CGCCUGGGGAGUACGGCCGCAAGGUUAAAACUCAAAUGAAUUGACGGGGGCCCGCACAAGCGGUGGAGCAUGUGGUUUAAUUCGAUGCAACGCGAAGAACCUUACCUGGUCUUGACAUCCACGGAAGAAUUCAGAGAUGGAUUUGUGCCUUCGGGAACCGUGAGACAGGUGCUGCAUGGCUGUCGUCAGCUCGUGUUGUGAAAUGUUGGGUUAAGUCCCGCAACGAGCGCAACCCUUAUCCUUUGUUGCCAGCGGUCCGGCCGGGAACUCAAAGGAGACUGCCAGU